Molecule: long non-coding RNA, 934 nt
Filed under: Gopherus agassizii (Agassiz's desert tortoise)
Lineage: Eukaryota; Metazoa; Chordata; Testudines; Testudinidae
Description: lncRNA (ENSGAGG00000010546.1)
Source: RNAcentral
CUGAGCUCAGCCCAAACGGAGACUCCUUGGAGCCCAGAGGCAGCUGCUCAGAGUGCGCCUGGGUCCGUACUGCCGGCCCUGUAGUCUCUAGAACCAGAUACUGCAUCUUGCGGGGGGCGGAGGGUUUCCCUCCGCCUGCCUGACCCACAAAGCCUGGGAGAUGGAGUCCCUGCAGUUUGCUUGUCUCUGUGAACUCUGCGACUGUGGUCGACACAAGCACCACAAGAACUGCAAGAAGUGGAGCAGGCCAGCGCCUCAGGACUGCAGGAGGCCCCAACUGUCUCAUUACAAGGCAACUUACACCCAGCCACCAAACGUGCAUCCUCGAAGCAGCAAGAGGCCGCUCCGCACCCCUCCACACCCCAACCCCCCAGCCAUGGCCUUCAGCACCACGCAGCGGGCAGAGUUCAUCCCCUGGGAGCUGGGCCAGAGGACCAAGCCGCAUGUCUGGGAGGCGUAUCAGUGCCCACAGGAGCCCUUCCAAAGCCAGAGUCUGUAUCGCCUCCACUUCCCGCCCAGGGAGCCAGUCAUGACCACCCUCCGGCAGCCCCCAACUCCCAGGCAGCCCAACAGCUCUGGUUUCCCCCACACCACCACCACCAUCACGGAGAGCUACAAAGGAUGGCGAGCGGAACGCCCAGCCUGCUAUGGAGAGCCGCCAGCCCUGGCAGGUGCUCUCCUGUCCCCUGACCAGGCAGCCGAGAUAGAAAGCACCAUGCAGCGAGAGUUCACAGAGAAACGCAUCCCCAAACCAGAGCUCGUCAAAGGAGCCCAGGUUCAGCUCACCAUUGAAGGUGAUCAUGACAUGAUGACCACCCACCAGAGCACCUACCAGUCUGUGCCCUUGGAGAAGCGGGUAGCCCAGUCACAUAAUAAAGGAAUAGUGCCAGCAGGGAAACGAGCACAGGUGGAAUACAUGACCAAGUACCAGUGA